AAUUUCAAAUAGGAUUGGUUGUCUCGUGAAUGUCCGCAUCUUCGAAUUCUGGCAGUAGAUUACUACUCUCAUUUUACCGUCUGGAAGGACGAGUGUCGCUUUGAAACCGAAAAUCGCUCUCUAUUAAGUAGAAGUAAUGAGAUUUUGAAGAAGUUAGUAGCCGCGGGUGUCGGUAACAAACCCAUAAUAUGGGUCACUCAUUCCAUGGGAGGAUUGUUAGUAAAACAAAUGCUUCUCGAAGCAGCCAAAAACAGAGAUCCCAGCAUUAGAAACGUGUUAGAGAAUUCAGUUGGCGUAGUGUUUUGUAGCGUACCUCACCGAGGAAGUUCUUUGGCCACUGUGGAUUCCGGCUGGAAACUAAUAUUACUUCCGACUAAAGAAGUGAAAGAAUUGAAAAAAGAUUCCUCGUAUCUUUUGGACAUGCACGAGAAGUUUAAACAGUUGGCCAAGAAGCACGACAUCUCUUGUCUUAGUUUCGGAGAAACCCAAAAAACCAACCUGGGCUUGAAAUUAAGCACGUUGAUGGUGUCUCUGGAUUCCUCAGAUCCGUCGAUCGGCGAAUUUUACGCACUUCCGGAGAAUCAUCUGAACACCUGUAAGCCGGAAACGAAGUCCUCCGUCAUGUAUCAGCUGCUGGUGGAUUUCAUCCAUCAGCACGUGCCGCACACUCUGAUGGAAAAUUUGCUUCAGGACCACAACGUCAGUGCCGAAGAUUUAGAAACCACCGUGGUCAUGGGAUUAGUGCAAUAGAUUUUUGUAUACAAUUUAAUUAAAGACAAUAUUUUUAAAUACGUAUAUGUAAUAAUGUCUUUGGUUUAUCAUAAUAUAUUCUUUAUGCAGAUGCCUUAGUCCAUUGUAAAACGUCCAUCGAAUUUACGGUGGAAAGUAUGUGCGGAAUUGCGGAUACGACCGGGCCCAAUUACUUUUUCGAUUCUCUCGAACGCUCAAAGUCGUAGUUUAUUUUGUUUUUAUAAAGAAAUUUCUUCAGGUAAUUAUAUUAUAUUUUCAAAUUAAAGUUAAAAAAGUUAUUUUGAUUUUUAUGGUUUUAGGCAAGUUAGAGAGAGACAUUUUCUUCGGAAUGUAUAUUUACAAUUAUGCAUUUUUGAUUACGCGAUCCGAACUCCGGUUCCUCUGUAUUUGGAUCGUCGUCCCGCUUCAUCGAAGUCCAUACGUAAGCAUGAAUACUUAAAAACACACACAAGAACAUUCCAUCUUUAAGGGAAAUUCUAUUGUUAGAACUGUGUGGACCCCAAGAAAACGGGUCUAAUCUGAGAUAAUUUCGAGAAAAGUAUUAUGAAAACCAAAGAUAUUACCGAACGGUCGGGGUACCCAAAAUUUGCGUAUUAAAUUUCCUAUAAAUCGGAUGCAGGGUAUGAUUUUAGGAUUGUUGUUGCCAACGAAAACUUUUGACUAGUAAAUAAAUUUUUUUCAUUUA
This 1435-nucleotide unclassified non-coding RNA is filed under the name Centruroides sculpturatus (bark scorpion). RNAcentral describes it as "protein SERAC1-like, transcript variant X1". The record is from RNAcentral. Lineage: Eukaryota; Metazoa; Arthropoda; Arachnida; Scorpiones; Buthidae.